GAUGAAGAACGCAGCGAAAUGCGAUAAAUAAUGUGAAUUGCAGAAUUCAGCGAAUCAUCGAGUCUUUGAACGCACAUUGCGCCCCCUGGUAUUCCGGGGGGCAUGCCUGUCCGAGCGUCAUUGCUGCCCUCAAGCACGGCUUGUGUGUUGGGCCCCCGUCCCCCCCUCCCGGGGGACGGGCCCGAAAGGCAGCGGCGGCACCGCGUCCGGUCCUCGAGCGUAUGGGGCUUUGUCACCCGCUCUGUAGGCCCGGCCGGCGCCUGCCGACCACCAUCAAUCUUUUUUCAGGUUGACCUCGGAUCAGGUAGGGAUACCCGCUGAACUUAAGCAUAUCAAUAAGCGGAGGA
Molecule: unclassified non-coding RNA, 347 nt
Filed under: soil metagenome
Description: partial contains 5.8S ribosomal RNA, internal transcribed spacer 2, and large subunit ribosomal RNA
Rfam family: 5.8S ribosomal RNA (bases 1-120)
Source: RNAcentral